AAGAGUUUGAUCAUGGGCUCAGGAUAAACGCUGGCGGCGUGCAUAACACAUGCAAGUCGAACGAUGAAGCUUAACUGAUUUCUUCGGAAUGAUUUUAAGUGGAUUAGUGGCGGACGGGUGAGUAACGCGUGAGUAACCUGCCUUGCACAAGGGGAUAGCCGUUGGAAACGACGAAUAAUACCCUAUGAUAUAAACUCUUCGCAUGAAGAGCUUAUCAAAGAUUUAUCGGUGUAAGAUGGACUCGCGUCUGAUUAGCUAGUUGGUGGGAUAAAAGCCUACCAAGGCAACGAUCAGUAGCCGGCUUGAGAGAGUGUACGGCCACAUUGGGACUGAGACACGGCCCAGACUCCUACGGGAGGCAGCAGUGGGGAAUUUUGCACAAUGGGGGAAACCCUGAUGCAGCGACGCCGCGUGAUUUAGAAGGCCUUCGGGUUGUAAAAAUCUUUUGUAUGGGAAGAAAAUGACAGUACCAUACGAAUAAGGACCGGCUAAUUACGUGCCAGCAGCCGCGGUAAUACGUAAGGUCCGAGCGUUGUCCGGAAUCAUUGGGCGUAAAGGGUACGUAGGCGGAUAAGCAAGUUAGAAGUGAAAUCCUAUAGCUCAACUAUAGUAAGCUUUUAAACUGCUCAUCUUGAGGUAUGGAAGGGGAAAGUGGAAUUCCUAUUGUACGGUGAAAUGCGCAGAUAUUAGGAGGAAUACCGGGUGGGCGAAGGCGACUUUCUGGCCCAUAACUGACGCUGAAGGUACGAAA
RNAcentral lists this ribosomal RNA (751 nucleotides) under uncultured Bacillota bacterium. RNAcentral describes it as "bacterial SSU rRNA". It matches the Rfam family "Bacterial small subunit ribosomal RNA", at positions 1 to 758 of the family's 1533-position model. Lineage: Bacteria; Bacillati; Bacillota. The record is from RNAcentral.